GGUCGCUUAGCUCAGUUGGUAGAGCACUACGCUCACAUCGUAGGGGUCGCAGGUUCAAGUCCUGCAGCGACCA
This 73-nucleotide transfer RNA is filed under the name Gemmatimonadota bacterium. RNAcentral's name for it is "Gemmatimonadetes bacterium (sponge metagenome) tRNA-Val". It matches the Rfam family "tRNA". From Rfam's summary of the family: Transfer RNA (tRNA) molecules are approximately 80 nucleotides in length. Their secondary structure includes four short double-helical elements and three loops (D, anti-codon, and T loops). Lineage: Bacteria; Pseudomonadati; Gemmatimonadota. The record is from RNAcentral.